UGAAACGCGACGUAAACCAUUAAAGUUAACGUGAGUGUUUCUUCGCGUCUCCAGAGCCACUUCCGUUGCGCAGUCGAUCUUUCGUCUCCUUCGUUGCGUGAUACCAGUAACCGACCAUUAAUCGACCCACGAUCUAUAUAUAUAAAGAGAAAUCAUGCUAUCUGUUGGUCUUCUCACCUUCACGGUUCUGAUUCUAACGUCGUCUCUCUUCCUCUUAUAAGCAAUUCUUCUGAGAAUUGUCUUUUCCUCUUCUGUUCGUCGGUAUUCUGAGUUGGGCUUCAAUAUUUUCUGAUACAAUCGAUUACCUCUUGGCCUCUCCACCUCCUACUGCGAGAGCGGGAGACUUGCCGCAGAGACCAACUAUGCCGGAAUCUGAGAUGUAAGGCCAUGUGGAUCUUCGACAUCGUCUAGAAGCUCCUCACAAAUUUAGACUACUACAUGGCUCAUGGUUACAGAUACGAUCUCUAUUAUUGACUGUUGGAUCUUUAUCCGUUAUAAAUCUGAAGUAUUGAAUCAGAUAUUAAACAUAAAUCUGUUAGCGUGGUAUCUUCUCCACAUUGAGAUCCCAUUUACUGAUUAAGAUAACUGGUUCUGUUGUAAUUGCAUCGUUGUUGUUCAUGGCAUAUCGAUCGGUUUGACGGAAUUAUUUUUUUGGUUGAGCAUAUAUCAAACUGAAAUCAUCUGUUUAAAUGGUCCUGUCGGUGUGUCGGUGUCUUCAAUGGAGUUGAGAGAUGAUUGUGAUGUUGAGACUGAUAAUAGAAGUAAUAGAUGAUGUAUUUGUGAUUUCUAAGAAGUCUAAUUUGGAUUCAACCAAAUAUCAGAGCUGUUCUGAGAUUCAAGUCAAGUCUGAAGCCGAAACUUCUGUUAACCCAUGUAAAUGAAUUGCUAUCUCUUUAUGAAAUCGUCUAAAGUGCAAGCUGGAGAUAUGUUACAACUGAAUUCACUCACUAAAAAAAUGCUCACUGCAUUUCCAUAUCUUAAUGACCAAUCCCAUGAUGCAUAUGUGUAACUGUAUAUUUUCCAGUUUAUGAAGGCAACUUAAUUCAUGGACAAAUAGAAGUAUGCAAAUAGACUCACACCAGAAAGAGAUGAAGCUAUCAAGAAUUGUGAGGUGACCAUGGUUGGAAAAAAAUCGUUAUUUGUCAUUUUCUCCAGGCUCUUUUACUUGGAAGAAGGCCUUGGAGAAGGUCAACUUUGUGUCUUCUUCCGCAGCAAUCACUUAGAUACCAUGAUAAACAGUCUUCAAGUGUGUCGGUGGAAGAUGGGAUCAACAUGAUGCAAUUAGUAAUAUUGAGGAUUAUAUCUGCAUCAUCAACAAUUCAUCAGAGGAAGGCUUAGAGAUUGAGUCCGAAGAGCUCCAGCUUUUAAAGCGAGCUUGAGACUGUACAAUGCUUUAAAAACACUUUGGUUCUCUAUCGUUCUGCAAACCGGUCGGGAGGGCCAAAAGAGGGUCACCAAGACUAAUCGCCGAGACGCCACUUACUACGAUAUAUUAAUAUUGGGUUAGAGCUUUAGCACAACAAAAUAGAUUUGAUGGUUUAUCUGCUUAUUUGCAGGUGUCCCAGUUUAUAGAUAUGAACGUUGCUGACAAAAGUAGUGGACACCAUGUGCUUGCAAAGGGGAGAUGUCAAACUGAGGCGCUCUCCUGUAUGAUUAACUGAAUCUUAACGACGCUCUGAUAGCAUACCAAACAGCCACAAAAGCAGCGGUUCAGAUUCAGGAGCGUUUAGGGAUAAAACGUUGAAAGCGGCACAGUCAAAGUUUAUCCACUUUACCAACAUGGGAGAAGAGGCUAAGAGCGUAUGAUGAAGUUACAGACGUUAUGCAUAGGAAUGUUAUUUAAUUAGUGACAAAAAUAAAUAAAAUUCUCAUGGAGGACUAGACAAUGAGAGUAUAAUAUUCUCAUGGUAUACAAAAAUAAAAUUAAUAAUAAUAAUCCUAUAAUAGAAAAAUUAACGUAAGGUAGCUAAUUUUUUAGCACACCUUUG
Molecule: long non-coding RNA, 1988 nt
Organism: Raphanus sativus (radish)
Lineage: Eukaryota; Viridiplantae; Streptophyta; Magnoliopsida; Brassicales; Brassicaceae
Exons: 5
Source: RefSeq, a predicted model, not a curated record